This 460-nucleotide ribosomal RNA is filed under the name uncultured bacterium. RNAcentral's name for it is "partial 16S ribosomal RNA". It matches the Rfam family "Bacterial small subunit ribosomal RNA", at positions 338 to 795 of the family's 1533-position model. The record is from RNAcentral.
CCUACGGGUGGCAGCAGUGAGGAAUAUUGGUCAAUGGCCGGAAGGCUGAACCAGCCAUGCCGCGUGAAGGUCAGUGCCCUAUGGGCGUUAAACUUCUUUUGUGCGGGAGCAAUAAUGGUCACGUGUGGCCAGACGAGAGUACCGUACGAAUAAGCAUCGGCUCACUCCGUGCCAACAGCCGCGGUAAUACGGGGGAUGCAAGGGUUAUCCGGCUUUAUUGGGUUUAAAGGGUGCGUGGGCGGGGAGGUAAGUCAGCGGUGAAAUGCCACGGUCCAACGGGGUGAAGUGCCAUUGAUACUGGCUUGCUGGAAUGCGGAUGACGUGGGAGGAAUGUGUGGUGUAGCGGUGAAAUGCAUAGAUAUCACACAGAACACCGAUUGCGAAGGCAUCUCACGAAUCCGCGAUUGACGCUGAUGCACGAAAGCGUGGGUAUCAAACAGGAUUAGAUACCCUGGUAGUC